GCGCAGGUAGCUCAGUCGGUAGAGCAGGGGACUGAAAAUCCCCGUGUCCCCGGUUCGACUCCGGGCCUGCGCA
RNAcentral lists this transfer RNA (73 nucleotides) under Myxococcota bacterium. RNAcentral describes it as "tRNA-Phe". It matches the Rfam family "tRNA". From Rfam's summary of the family: Transfer RNA (tRNA) molecules are approximately 80 nucleotides in length. The record is from RNAcentral. Lineage: Bacteria; Pseudomonadati; Myxococcota.